AGGGUUGUGCAUAUUAACGGUUAAACCAAUAACCCGAAUCGAUUAUUGGGUUAUUGGGUUAAUGGUUCGGGUUAAUGGAUUACCGGUUCGGGUACCGGGUGGUGUUUUUGGGUUAUUGGCUUAUUGGGUCGGGUCGCGGGUUGACCAUUUUUGUUAACGGGUUACCCGAUAACCCGAUAACAAUUUAAUUAAUUACACUUCUACCCUUUCAUAUAUAUUAAGUCACUUACACUACAAUUAGGGUUACUUCAUUUCAUUUCAUAAAACAGCCUCUCUGCCUCUCUUUAAGUCUCAAGCCUCUCUUUAAGCCUCUCUUACCCAUUCACGAUGAUUCUCAAGCCCCUCUUUUUCUUGCCUCUUCUUUGACGAUUUCGGCCUCUUUCACGAACAGCUCUAUAUUCUGCUCUAUAUAAUCGUCAUUCUCAGUUUCGGCAAUUCAAUCUGUUUCCGUGAUACAAACACAUGACUGAAAAUAUGAUAAUUGAUAAAGUAGUUGGUGAAAGUGGAGCUUCUAACUCAAAAGCAAGUCAAACUCAAACAGUUCAGUCCAAAAAAAGGAAAGAAAGGAGAAAAAGGUCUGUUGCGUGGACUUAUUUUGAUCCAGUUAUUGAUCCUGAUGGAAAUGAGAAGGGUGUCUGUAAAUUCUGUAAAAAAGAAUAUUUUGCUGACACAAAAGAUCAUGGUACAGGGGGAAUUCUUGGUCAUAUACCCAAAUGUAAAAAGAUUCCUCGUAAUGUUGAUACUAAUCAAGCACAAUUAGUGUUUAAACCUGUUAAGGUGAGUGACAAGGGUGAUGUAGUUGUUGCAGCAUGGAAAUUUGAUCAAGAAACCUG
Long non-coding RNA from Lycium ferocissimum, 833 nucleotides. RefSeq lists it as uncharacterized. Lineage: Eukaryota; Viridiplantae; Streptophyta; Magnoliopsida; Solanales; Solanaceae. The transcript is spliced from 3 exons. The record is from RefSeq and is a predicted model, not a curated record.